This 293-nucleotide long non-coding RNA is filed under the name Populus tremula. RNAcentral's name for it is "long non-coding RNA (PTRE_LNC002565)". Lineage: Eukaryota; Viridiplantae; Streptophyta; Magnoliopsida; Malpighiales; Salicaceae. The record is from RNAcentral.
AAAAACCAGAGGGAAUUUUGGCUUUUCCUUCAGAACUCUAGCAAAGGAUUUUUUGCUCUCCCUCACAACAGACUAUUGAUCCAACCAACACGACACAAACCAUGAAAAAAACAGAGGAAACAAAAAAAAAAAACGAGAAAACAGAGGAAGAAAGAGAGGAGAGGAAGGGAGCCAGAGAGAAGAACGACUAGAGAGAAACAACCGAAAAAAGAAACAGAGGGGAAGAAAGGAGUAUUGUCCAACCAGCGCAGCAUCUCCUUACAUCUUCGUCUCCAGCAGCAGCUACACCAGGU